RNAcentral lists this small RNA (606 nucleotides) under Pongo abelii (Sumatran orangutan). Its description in RNAcentral is "retained intron". Lineage: Eukaryota; Metazoa; Chordata; Mammalia; Primates; Hominidae. The record is from RNAcentral.
AACAUUGAAGGCAAGUUGCCCUUGAGCAGCUCUCUGAAGAUCAACUGCCUCCACAUUGCAUUCUUUGCCCCAAAACUCUUUCCUUUGGUUGUGCUAAGAGGUUAUGCCCAAGGUGCAUCACCUUUCAAGAACUGGAUCAUGAACAACUUUAUCCUCCUGGAAGAACAGCUCAUCAAGAAAUCCCAACAAAAGAGAAGAACUUCUCCGUCGAACUUUAAAGUCCGCUUCUUUGUGUUAACCAAAGCCAGCCUGGCGUACUUUGAGGAUCGUCAUGGGAAGAAGCGCACGCUGAAGGGGUCCAUUGAGCUCUCCCGAAUCAAAUGUGUUGAGAUUGUGAAAAGUGACAUCAGCAUCCCAUGCCACUAUAAAUACCCGUUUCAGGUGGUGCAUGACAACUACCUCCUAUAUGUGUUUGCUCCAGAUCGUGAGAGCCGGCAGCGCUGGGUGCUGGCCCUUAAAGAAGGUAAUUAAACUCCUUUGCCAUUGAAUCACUGACACUCUUGAUCCUAUAGUAGGGUUGGGUUCCACAAUAGAAUAGAGUGUGGUGUGAGAGCAGCUGAUGGCUGAUUUCUCUUUUGGGGUUGGUGGAAGUUCCCAAGUUUUCAU